This 633-nucleotide ribosomal RNA is filed under the name Triticum aestivum (bread wheat). Its description in RNAcentral is "partial small subunit ribosomal RNA". The record is from RNAcentral. Lineage: Eukaryota; Viridiplantae; Streptophyta; Magnoliopsida; Poales; Poaceae.
AUGAAACUGUUGUCACAAGACCACAAAAAGUACAUCAUAUCAGAAACCAGUCUUGGCGGUCUAACCCAAAUGCAUGAAGUGACUCUACAGCGCAUAAUGUUGGUUAGACUAGCCAAGAACAUAGAUAUGGACACGCAAUCCAUUACCAUCGGUAAAACGCCAAUUCCUAUAACAAAAGAGGACGUGCAAGGUAUAUUUGGCAUUUCGAUAGAAGGGGAGGAUAUAGAGCCACAUCUGGAAAUGCAAACCGACACAGAAUUGUUUACCGCCUAUGCAAACAAUGGGCAAAUUUUGAUUUCUGACCUUGAAACGGCGAUCCGAGCUUCCAAAGCCCCAGACGGCGAUUUCCUGAGGCGGUUCAUUCUGUACGCAAUUGGUACUAUUGUAGCACCAACAGCACAACAUUAUGUGGACUCGAAAUUUCUCAACCUUGUUACAGAUCUUGAAAACCUUCGGAAAUUUAACUGGGGAUGUUUCACACUUAAUCACUUCUUCAAGUCCGUUCACAAGUUUAGAAAUCGAGAUCACGUAAAUCUACAAGGAAAUCUAAUUCUGCUCCAGUAUUGGUACUGGGAGCACGUGCGUAGUGGCCGAUUAAUGUAUGCUUCUAGACCCCCUCCAUUGAUCGCACGA